This is a long non-coding RNA of Oreochromis aureus, 574 nucleotides long. Lineage: Eukaryota; Metazoa; Chordata; Actinopteri; Cichliformes; Cichlidae. The record is from Ensembl.
GAAACACACAGGCCAGAAUGAGGGUAUGCCGCGACACUGAACAGAGAAAAACGCAGACAAUAAAUACCAGAGGAAAACAUGGGAAUGAGGAUCAGGUUCUUUGGACUGGUCAGCAGCGGAUGACAUGCUCCACAGCAGAUCUGCUCCUCCAGUCCACACCUCACCUGCAUCUUUUUUAGCAGCAUUGUGGGCUAAAGCAGAGGAACCUGUACCCUCAGUUUCCUUUGCUUCUGUUGCAUCCUCUGCUUUUUCUCCUUCCCCUCCUCUUGGCUUCCUCUGCACUGGUUUCUUCGGCACCUUCUGCAUUCUCUGCUCCCUCAUCAAGGAGGAAAUGGCAUCCUCAUCAUCAACAGUUCUCUCUACCAUUGGCAUCAGCUACCUUGGUCCGUCUGCUGACACAGGGCUGACAGAUUACACUGUUUUGAUGCACUAGAGAUGUCUCAAGUGGAAGGUCCAAAUCAGAUGAACAGGAGAUCAGGAGGAGACUGAAAGCGAUGAAACCCAGGAGACCUGCAGGCCCCGAUCCCAUCCCAGGGGCUGUGGUCAAAGCCUGGUUGAACCAACUGGCAGGAAU